UCCUCGGCACCAUAUAUAAAACGCUGAACUCAAAAACACGAAAAAGGAAAAACGAAGAAGAGAAAAAACAAAGGCGUUAAGUCAUUUUCCUCUUUGCUCUUCUGAGAUUCAGAUCCAAAUAUCCACAAAAGAAGGAAACGUGGGAGGGAGCUGAACAAUCUUGAAAAUGGCGACGGUGUCUCCUCUGGCUAAAUACAAGCUGGUCUUCCUGGGCGAUCAGUCCGUCGGAAAAACCAGCAUCAUCACCCGCUUCAUGUACGACAAAUUCGAUACCACCUAUCAGGCUACGAUUGGGAUUGAUUUUCUGUCGAAAACGAUGUACCUUGAAGAUCGGACAGUUCGUU
Non-coding RNA from Prunus avium (sweet cherry), 344 nucleotides. NCBI's taxonomy places the organism in Eukaryota, Viridiplantae, Streptophyta, Magnoliopsida, Rosales, Rosaceae. The record is from RefSeq and is a predicted model, not a curated record.